AUGUUUCAGAUUUUCAUUGCCAUGGCCAAGCAAGUCUAUGAAUGCAAUUGGGCUCCUUCUCGAGUAACCGAAGAGCAGUUAAACAACUGUGUUAAAAUGGGCGCUUUAGCCAAGAAAGAUGUCAUCCACUGGAGGGUCCCUGGCCCGGAAAACCCUCCUAUACCCAAGGAUGGAGAGGUAGUUGUGUUUGCUGAUCACUUGAGUCGAGGUUUUAGCCCUCCCGGUUCAAAAAAUUUCCGGGAUGUACUGGCUAGUUUUCAACUGCGCCCUCAAGACAUCGGUCCAAAUUCUGUGACUAACAUCUGCCACUUC
Molecule: ribosomal RNA, 312 nt
Filed under: Triticum aestivum (bread wheat)
Lineage: Eukaryota; Viridiplantae; Streptophyta; Magnoliopsida; Poales; Poaceae
Description: partial small subunit ribosomal RNA
Source: RNAcentral